UUACUGUUGAAGAGUCCCAAACUAGGACGAAACAGCUGUCCAGUAC
RNAcentral lists this non-coding RNA (46 nucleotides) under Trichobilharzia regenti. Lineage: Eukaryota; Metazoa; Platyhelminthes; Trematoda; Strigeidida; Schistosomatidae. The record is from RNAcentral.